CUCGCGUAGGUGCGAACAGCCUUAAAAAUCUUGUACUUGUGUCAGGGCCAAUGAAAUGGAAAAAAAUCAUGCAAACACCAAAGCAAGCCAUGAGACAUUUUGUGAAAUUACGUGUUUGAAGUUUUCCGCUAUCGCAAAAAGUUUUUUUUUUUUGUUGCUUGCCUAAAAUGCGGAAAUAACGACGAAAACCGUUAAAGGACGUUUAUAGAUGCGAAGACUACGGGCAUCUGAAAGUGUUACAAUUUUGCAAUCAAACCAACAGUGAAGUAAGUGCUGUUGAUUGAAAAUCCCGGAGUGUAGAGCUUGUGAAUGAAAUUGCUGGCGUGAAUAGACGAAACCGUCGUUUAAACUACAGAACUUACGAUAUUUAAGGACGAUAAUAGGUUCAUUAUUCAUCCAAUCAUUUGAGUGGUGCCAUUCGAACCUGAUACUUGCAUUUUAUAAAAAAAAAUGAAAUAAUUCGUGAUCGACAUUGAACCAGGAUAGUAGCGCUAGUAGUUUUAGCAGUGAACCGAAUAUCUAGGUUAUAUGGCGUUUCGAAGUUUAAUUUUCUGCUGCCCCAAAGUGCAAAAUGUUUGGAACCUAGUAAUUUGACAAUAUCAUGGUAUGUGGUUAGUAAAUUCUGAAUAUAUUUUUUUUAUUCUUUGUCAGUUAUGAAACGGCAGAAAUCAUGAAGACACCAAAGCAAGCCAUGAGUAAUUUAGUGAAUUUUCGUGUUUGAAGUUCUCCGCUAUCGGAAUAAGUUUUUUCCUGCAUGAAAGAAAUUACGGUGAAAUCCUUGAAAAACGGUUUCGAAAUUUGAACUGAAGAACCGAUGUUUUGCCCACUCAAACCAUAAUCACCAUGAACAGUAGUUAUCAAAACGUUUUCGGACAAAAGUCGUCGUCUGUGCCCUAUAAAAAGUUAUCUGCGAAGGAAAGCUUUGAGCGCAGAACUAAGCUAGAAAGCGAAGACAGAACAGUCCGCUGGAACGAGCAAAAGGGAGUUUGAACAAGUAAAACAGUGAAAGGAUAAUGCUAUUGGCACAACCGACGUGCUGAGAAUUUCGAAAAAUAAGCUGCUCCUACGCCCAGUAUCGCUGUUCCGGGUUCUAUACUAGACAAUGCUCAAGAACUUCGCCGAACCUAUCUUGUCGAAUAAAUAGCUCGGGCAGUUUGUAUCUUUCAGACGGAUAAAAUUAUUAUUAUCGAUGACUGUGGAAGCUCUAACGAGGCUACGGACAGAAUGGGUACGAUUGAUACGGCACAAGGAAGCACUUCUGCUAGACGCUGCUGUGUACAAUAGACUCGAAUUCUGCAAUAUCUUGAAUGCCCGCAAUAUCCACGCAAAUCUAUUUUUCCAAUGCAUACACUCAAACACUACGGAUAGGUGAAUCCACAGGACUCGCAUCAUCAUCUGCGGCAGGCCAGCGAGUUGGAGUUCUGCGGAAGAAUUGUGAAUUGUGGAAGAGAAAAAGGUUCAUCAGAUUCUCUGCAAGGAAAAAACUGAAAUUCGUGGUCGUUUUCGGUGGGGUUUUUGGUCUGGGGCCUGCGCUGGUAAAAUGACGUUAAAUUAAAUGUGGAUAAAGUGGAGCUCCUUUUCGAUCAUUAUGUUAACACAGUCCCUGGGCAAGGGUCUAGAACCGUGCGUACAGAGGAAGCGGUUCUGAUUAUUUUGGCUGCACUUGGAGAGAAGCUUGACCCAACGAACCAUCCGAAGAAGUUUAAACAUGUUGAUGCUAUUCCACAAAGUCAGGAUACCGGGAUACAGCAGUACGCUUUUAUUGAGAAAAAGGAAAACCAGUUCCGGAAGCAUCUGUAGUGGCGAAUCAAUCUGCCUCAGGCGAUUUGUUGCGGUUUGAAUGAGGCAACGGCAUGAAUAAGAAAUAAAAGGACUGGAGAAAAUUUGUACGCCCAUCCUGUUUGAAGUGAACUCACUGCGCCCGGCUAAAGCAAUUUGGGAGUACCGAAUUUCGGCUAAAGGUUGAGCAGAAUGCAGGAACAGAGGAAGCAGAGGACGAACAUUAGAAAGCUCGAGCUUCUUCAACAGUUGUACCCGGAUUGUCUUUUGCUUGCUUGAGCCCAGGCUCUGGUCGGUCGGACGAUUUGGAAGAGAGACUGAAAAAGCUACCAGACAUCGG
RNA transcript from Wyeomyia smithii (pitcher-plant mosquito), 2119 nucleotides. It is a transcript of the gene named ubiquinol-cytochrome-c reductase complex assembly factor 1-like, with no coding region annotated. The record is from RefSeq and is a predicted model, not a curated record. Lineage: Eukaryota; Metazoa; Arthropoda; Insecta; Diptera; Culicidae. The transcript has 5 exons.